CUGGUUCUCUCCGGGCAACAGGAUGACCAGCCCUGUCCAAACACAAAAAAAGGAUACUCUACCAAAACUUCCACGCUGACCUGUGGGAACAGUGAGAGACAGGGAGAGGGAAGGGAAGGAAGAAAUGAAGACAUUUUAUUCUUGUUUUAUUGUAUACAUUACACGUACACAGACAUACAUACGCAUAGGUGAAUGGAAAAAAAUAAGACUCAGUUCCCCAAACCUCCUCCACCAACAGAUGCAAAUGAGGUUCUUAACUUUCUGCUGUACCUGUACUUACCAUAUGUAGAUGUUGGGUCGAAGCCGGUAGAAGUCCAUUCAGCAUUCAAAAAUAUCGUUUUACUGUGUAUCAGCUCUACAGCUGGUCUCCAUUAAAACAAGCCAGUGGAGCCCCAAGGAUGACGGAACACCUACUUAGUGUUCGGCACUGGGCUAGGCGCUGCACGUGACUCAAGCCCAAGGUAUAUUCUUGUGUCUUAUUAGCUCACUGGACAGAUGCUAUUCUCGUGUAUAACAGGGCUGAAUACGGAUCAGAGUUAGAUUGUAUUUAAGCCCCAUAAGGCAGGCACUUAUGUGCUCACCACUGUGUCCCUGGCCCCUAAAAGAGUACCUGGCACAUGGUUGAAACUUAAUAUUUACUGGAUAAAUGAAUGCGUACUCUCGGAAUUUAGGGGGAGCAGAAUCAGGGAGGGCUGGAGAAAGCAGGGAGGGCUUUUCCAGGACCCCAAGGAUGGGCAGGAUUUGGAGUGGUUUGAGGGUGAAAUGAAUACAGACAGCUCAAGGGCUUGGCCCAUCCACAUGGGCAAGCCCCAGGUACUCAAAUCAGUCUCCCUUUUGUUUGAAAAACAAAUAUCAAAAGCAGGGGAAGCCCAGUAUCCUUUCAAUACCUGCCGUUUUCUCUAGGCUACUAUGUGCCAUUCACUGUGAUGAAUUUCAAGAAAUUGAAAACAAUAGUCUUGGUCACAAAGGAGUUCACAAUCCAAUGGGCAAAAGAGGCACAUGCACGAUAACUGCCGAUCAACGUGGCGAGUGUGGUCGCAGAGUGGGGCUCUACUACUCUGCAUGGGAUUACGCUGUCGGAGGGCAGAGGAAAGGCAUGGAAGAGAGAAAAGCCAGUCUGCUUUCCUCGAAGGCCAGUUUGCACAACCACAUUCCACACAUCAAGAAAAUCAGAGAACCCUGGAACAAAGACGGAGGGGCUGACGGAGAGCCCCAUUUACUUCGACGUUGAAAGAUCAUUAAUAAAAAGUCACACCUCUUCAGUCGAGUGUAAGAGCGUCGGGCCAAAGUCACCCAAGUGGAAGCAGGGAAAGGAAACUAACAUUGGCGAGGGCCUACUACGCGCUACCUACUGUGCUGGUUCCUUCGAACGUAUUUCCUUUCAUUCGUCUGACAACCUUCUUUCUUUGCACUACGGCGUAAACCGAAUGGAAGGCUCAUACGUAUUUGUACCGUGAAGUGUGUGUGCACUGAUCUGUACAUGGUUUGCACAAGCUCCAGAGUGGUGGAUCCAGGUCCUGCGUUUUCUGACCAGCUAACCUGCUUCCCACCCAAGCAGACCACGCUCCAUCCUCCAGCCGCAUCACACUGGCUCCCACGUUGAUGCUAUCACCUGGGGAUCCCUUCUGGGACUCGCCACGGACUAAGGAGACCACAGGUGGCUACGAAGAGGCUUCAUGUGGUGCGCACAGGCUAACAGACAAUGCCUGGGAUGCCCUUUUUGCUCCCACGGCACCGGGGUGGGGGAACUUGGAUGCAAGGACGCUUUGCCUGGGCCGAGAAAUACUGCACUGGGUAGGACAAAACCUCACGGAUGGUGACGAACACACAAAAGCAUUUUUCUCCUACGCUGCCUCAUCUGGAGCUUUAGCUGGAGACCACCCUGGAGGUGUCUUUCACACAAUAAUAAUUAGGAAUUUGGCUCCUGAAAACAAUGCCCUCAGUGAAAACUCCCUUGGCUCUAUCAGGAUGGCUUUCCUUCCAACGAGGUCUAUGUGCUGAUUAUAAGCAUGAAGUCAGGGAAGUUUCCCUUUAUGUCCCCCCUUUGGUUUUUGCUUACUGGAUGCUAGUAAAUUUUAUAAGAGCUGUUCUGCACGGCAGGAACGCAAGGGAUCACAAAAACGAGAAGAGGCCCAAGAUAUGAUCUUGUAUAAGGAAUCAUUUGCCCAUUUUAGCGAUGAGAAAACCCCCAGCUCUGAGAGGUGAGACCACUUGCCUUGCAGCCAACCAGACCCCAGCUCGUGGCUUCUCCCCACCAGCCACACGACAUUCACCGGGGAUGCCCGUGGUUGUUUACGAACUCAAGCAUCCCUGUGGUCCUGCUUCCGUGCAGGAUUUAUGCCGGGGGUCAUAAAGCCAUCUGUCCUCUAGCAAACCACCCCUUCCUUCCACAACUUCCCCAAUCCAAUUUGUGAGUUUGCUAAUUAAGUGCAACACUUUGCAUGUUUCUAAAUCUCCCUGUGGGUGCAAGUGUUAGUGAUUUCGAAUCCACUGAGCAGACAGACCAGGGGAGAAAACCCCACCGAGUGCCGCUGAGGAUGGAGGGAAGUCCUCAGCCCUCAGAGUGUAAAUUAAAUCCAGGCCUUUGUUUUCUGUCUCCCUUCCCUCUCCCCCUCUCGCUUCCUCUGCUUCCCUCCUGACUCUGCUCCUGUCACUUGUGGUAAACACAGCUGGUGGAGUAUUUUAGCUGUGAUGACGUCAGCCUGUUUCUGAUAGGCUUCGGGGUAAAGUGACAAAUCACUGGUGGUGUCGGGGCCCCGCACUUGUGUUUCUACAGCGUGAAACUCCAGCCACCCUUUGGAGCCGAAGCCGCAGACCUGUGAGCAGGCCCUGACAAACACGCUGCCUUCUAAUUUGCACCUUGGCUGUCAGCGAGGAGACUGGUGGUCUGGCGAUGGGAAGGAAAUGAGACUUCCCGCAUGGAAGCCGACUUCACCAUCGUUUAAGCGUUCACUCUGCAAAGGAUCGAGCGAGGCAAACACAGAGAGAUGCUUCCUCUCUAAGAGCUGCCGGGUCGGGUCGAUGUGAAACCUAGAGGUCUGUGAAGCUCCUGAUGACUAUGGAGGCUGCCGGGGCCUUGGAGAUGAGCCCUCAGCUCAGAGCUGCUCUUUACUGGAAGAGAUGCUAGGCCGGAGACAGCAGCAUUUUCAAAAUCACCCCUAUUUCCAUGCCUACCUCUCUUCACAGUAGUGCUUUAAGGAUUAA
Non-coding RNA from Delphinapterus leucas (beluga whale), 3204 nucleotides. NCBI's taxonomy places the organism in Eukaryota, Metazoa, Chordata, Mammalia, Artiodactyla, Monodontidae. The record is from RefSeq and is a predicted model, not a curated record.